GCAGAAGGGAUGGGGCAGGAACGUUUUCAUUUCUAUGUUCCAUCCACACAGUCCCUAGGAUUGUUUCCUAUAUACUUGGGAAUUUGGUCAAUAUUAACCAAGAAGAAGGAAGAAACACACUUAGAAGCAUGAAGUCCCAUUGAGAAAUAUUGAACGAAUAUCCUUCCUACUAUACUGUAUUGGAUAUACCUUCAAAACUCUGCUCAAGAAUCACUUCAUGCAUGAAGCUGUCCCUUGAUGAGGAUACUUGGCCACUUGUGUCCAAUUUUAUUUGGGUACAACUAAAAACCAUGGCUAUUAUAUAUAAAACAAACAAGACUCUGAAAGGUAGAAAGAAGAAAGCAGACCAGCUAUGGGAAUUAUGACCCAAGGAACAACACAGCAGUCAGUUCUCUGGAUUUUCUUUUUAAUUCUUAUGUCCCACACUGGAAGCUGAAAAAGUCAACAACCCAGAAAUGCCAAUGGGUACAGAUAAAAAAAGCCCCCCGAAAGUUUGCUGUCGCUAGCCAAAGGAUCAUAAAAGGUAGAAGAAAAAUAAAGAUAGAUAACCUAUAAAGAAAGAAAAUUUUACGCUUUGCUCUAUUCCAGCCAAACAUUAUAGAAAAACCUGUAGCACCACCCACCCAGCAAAGGCCAAGCGGGAGCCUAGACUUCCACCCUUGUGAGUCUGUAACAAGGCACCUUAAUACCCUACCAGGAUGCUGUCAGAAAAUGCUAAAUAGGGAGCUUGAGUUUUCAACUCUACCUGCUAGUAAUGAGCUGCUAAGCCCAUACAAUGUCCAUGGAGACCUUGUGGGAAGUAUGGACUGCCACCUUCACCAGACAGUAAUGAAUGUUCCCUCCCUGCUGGGAUGGUGUCAGAAGAGGCAUAAUGGAGUCAGGUCUUUCACCAUUGUCCAGAAGUAACACAGUCACCAGGGGUAACAAAAUACUGCAGUAUCAGUGGAGACCUCAUGGGAACCUAAAACUUCCAUCUCCAUCCAGAAGUAAUGAGGAGUCCCCUUCCCCUCAGUUCAAGAAGGAUAAAUGGAAAACCUGGACUUUUAACUCCAUUUGACAACAACAAAGACAGAUUUCCCUGCUGGAUCAGUGUCACAGAAAUAAAUAAACAAACAAAACCAGCUAAAAUAAAAUGUUUAUUUAAGAUCCAGAGUCUCAUAACAUAAUUCUGAAAAUGUUCAGAUUUUAAACAAAACCCCUCAACUUAUCAACAACCAAGAAGAUCUCAAAUUAAGUUUAAAAAAAUCAGUAGAUGCCAACACCAAGAAGACAGAAAUGUUAGAAUUAUCUGACAAAGGUUUUAAAACAACUAUGAUGCUUCAACGCUUCAAUGAGUAAUUACAAACUCUUAAAACAAAUGAAAAAAUAGAAGCCUCAGCAACGAAUAGAAAGUCUCAGUAAACGAAUAAAAGAUAUAAAGAAGAAUCAAAUAUAAAUUUUAGAAAUAAAAAAUAUAAUGACUGAAACUAAAAAGCUCAGCAGAUGGACUCAACAGCAAAAUGGAGGAGACAGAGGAAAGAACCAAUGAACAAGAAGAUAGACCAAUGGAAAUUACCCAAUAUGAACAAUCAAGAAAAAAAACACUGAAGAAAAAAAAAGGAACAGAGACUCAGGGACCUAUAGGACUAUAACAAAAUAUCUAACAUUUGGUCUUUGGACUAGGAAGGGGAGGAGAAAGAGGGUAGUGCUGAAAAAGUACUUGAAGUGAUAAUGGUUGACAAGUUCCCAAAUUUGACAAGAGAUGUAAACUAACAAAUUCAAGCUUAGCAAACCAUAGACAGAAUAAAGGCAAAGAAAUCCACUCCAAGACGCAUCAGAAUUAAACUUGAAGUGGUACCAUAUUAAAAAGUUCUGAAAGAAAGCAGUUGUCAACCCUGAAUCUUAUACCUAGGAAAAAUAUCCUUCAGGAAUGAAGGGGAAAUCAAGACAUUCUCAGAUGAAGGAAAACAGAGAGUUUAUUAGCAGCAGACCUACG
Molecule: long non-coding RNA, 1975 nt
Organism: Equus caballus (horse)
Lineage: Eukaryota; Metazoa; Chordata; Mammalia; Perissodactyla; Equidae
Source: Ensembl